Molecule: ribosomal RNA, 253 nt
Filed under: uncultured bacterium
Lineage: Bacteria
Description: partial 16S ribosomal RNA
Rfam family: Bacterial small subunit ribosomal RNA
Source: RNAcentral
GACGAACCGUGCGAGCGUUGUUCGGAAUCACUGGGCUUAAAGGGCGCGUAGGCGGCUGAUCAAGUCAGGGGUGAAAUCUUUCGGCUCAACCGGAAAAGUGCCUUUGAUACUGGUCAGCUUGAGGGAGGUGGGGGCAUGUGGAACUUCCGGUGGAGCGGUGAAAUGCGUUGAUAUCGGAAGGAACGCCGGUGGCGAAAGCGACGUGCUGGCCCUCUUCUGACGCUGAGGCGCGAAAGCUAGGGGAGCGAACGGG